AAGUCGUAACAAGGUUUCCGUAGGUGAACCUGCGGAAGGAUCAUUAUCGAAACAAAAGGUCUUUCGGGUUGUUGCUGGCCUCUAGGGGCAUGUGCACGCCCGUCGGCCGUAUCCUUCUCUACCCCUGUGCACCUCUGCGUGGGUCCGUCGGCGCGAGCCUUCGGAUCCGCGUUUUAUCUACACACCCUUUUGUAUGUCUUCAGAAUGUCUAAUGCGAUAAAAAGCAUCUUAUACAACUUUCAACAACGGAUCUCUUGGCUCUC
Molecule: unclassified non-coding RNA, 263 nt
Filed under: air metagenome
Description: partial contains small subunit ribosomal RNA, internal transcribed spacer 1, and 5.8S ribosomal RNA
Rfam family: Eukaryotic small subunit ribosomal RNA (bases 1-46)
Source: RNAcentral